GGUUAUGAUGGUUAGCCGGCCUGAGAGGGUGAUCGGCCACACUGGGACUGAGACACGGCCCAGACUCCUACGGGAGGCAGCAGUGGGGAAUAUUGCGCAAUGGGGGAAACCCUGACGCAGCAACGCCGCGUGGAUGAGGAAGGCCUUCGGGUUGUAAAAUCCUGUUAGGUGGGAAGAAAGCUAUAAUGGUUAAUACCCAUUGUAUUUGACGGUACCAUCGAAGAAAGCCCCGGCUAACUCCGUGCCAGCAGCCGCGGUAAUACGGAGGGGGCAAGCGUUAUUCGGAAUUACUGGGCGUAAAGGGCGCGUAGGCGGUUCUAUAAGUUAGAUGCUAAAUCCCUUGGCUUAACCAAGGUCUCGCAUUUAAUACUGUAGAACUAGAGUACAGUAGAGGAGAAUGGAAUUUCCAGUGUAGCGGUGAAAUGCGUAGAUAUUGGAAGGAACACCUGUGGCGAAGGCGAUUCUCUGGGCUGAUACUGACGCUGAGGCGCGAAAGCUAGGGUAGCAAACGGGAUUAGAUACCCCGGUAGUCCUAGCUGUAAACGAUGGACACUAGGUGUAAGAGGUAUCGAUUCCCCCUGUGCCGAAGUUAACACAUUAAGUGUCCCGCCUGGGGAGUACGUUCGCAAGAAUGAAACUCAAAGGAAUUGACGGGGGCCCGCACAAGCGGUGGAGCAUGUGGUUUAAUUCGAAGCAACGCGAAAAACCUUACCAGGGUUUGACAUAUACCUGACCGCAUCAGAGAUAAUGUUUUCUCUUCGGAGACAGGUAUACAGGUGCUGCAUGGCUGUCGUCAGCUCGUGUCGUGAGAUGUUGGGUUAAGUCCCGCAACGAGUGCAACCCUCACCCUUAGUUGCCAUCAGGUAAUGCUGGGCACUGUAAGGGGACUGCCGGUGAUAAACCGGAGGAAGGUGGGGAUGACGUCAAGUCCUCAUGGCCUUUAUAUCCUGGGCUACACACGUGCUACAAUGGUCGGUACAAAGGGUUGCCAAACCGUGAGGUCGAGCUAAUCCCAAAAAACCGAUCUCAGUUCGGAUUGGAGUCUGAAAUUCGACUCCAUGAAGGUGGAAUCGCUAGUAAUCGUGGAUCAGCAUGCCACGGUGAAUACGUUCCCGGGCCUUGUACACACCGCCCGUCACACCACGAAAGUUAACUGUACCAGAAGUUGCUGAGCUAACCGCAAGGAGGCAGGUACCUAAGGUAUG
RNAcentral lists this ribosomal RNA (1205 nucleotides) under metagenome. RNAcentral describes it as "bacterial SSU rRNA". It matches the Rfam family "Bacterial small subunit ribosomal RNA", at positions 272 to 1466 of the family's 1533-position model. The record is from RNAcentral.